GGGGCCGUAGCUCAGCUGGUAGAGCGCCUGCUUUGCAAGCAGGAUGUCAGCGGUUCGAUUCCGCUCGGCUCCACCA
Molecule: transfer RNA, 76 nt
Filed under: Candidatus Liberibacter americanus
Lineage: Bacteria; Pseudomonadati; Pseudomonadota; Alphaproteobacteria; Hyphomicrobiales; Rhizobiaceae
Also listed under: 4 other names
Description: tRNA-Ala
Rfam family: tRNA
About the family: Transfer RNA (tRNA) molecules are approximately 80 nucleotides in length.
Source: RNAcentral